RNAcentral lists this ribosomal RNA (461 nucleotides) under uncultured bacterium. RNAcentral's name for it is "partial 16S ribosomal RNA". It matches the Rfam family "Bacterial small subunit ribosomal RNA", at positions 338 to 795 of the family's 1533-position model. The record is from RNAcentral.
CCUACGUGAGGCUGCAGUGAGGAAUAUUGGUCACUGGUCGCGAGCCUGAACCAGCCAAGUCGCGUGAGGGAUGACGGUCCUACGUAUUGUAAACCUCUUUUGCCGGGGAGCAAGCGUUCGUUCGUGAACGCUCGUCGAGAGUACCCGGAGAAAAAGCAUCGGCUAACUCCGUGCCAGCAGCCGCGGUAAUACGGAGGAUGCGAGCGUUAUCCGGAUUUACUGGGUGUAAAGGGAGCGUAGACGGCAGCACAAGUCUGGAGUGAAAUGCCGGGGCUUAACCCCGGAACUGCUUUGGAAACUGGGCAGCUAGAGUGCAGGAGAGGUAAGUGGAAGUCCUAGUGUAGCGGUGAAAUGCGUAGAUAUUAGGAGGAACACCAGUGGCGAAGGCGGCUUACUGGACUGUAACUGACGUUGAGGCUCGAAAGCGUGGGGAGCAAACAGGAUUAGAUACCCUGGUAGUC